This 551-nucleotide ribosomal RNA is filed under the name uncultured archaeon. RNAcentral's name for it is "bacterial SSU rRNA". It matches the Rfam family "Archaeal small subunit ribosomal RNA", at positions 326 to 879 of the family's 1478-position model. The record is from RNAcentral.
CGGGGUGCAGCAGGCGCGAAAACUUUGCACUACACGAAAGUGUGACAGGGCUAUCCCGAGUGCCAUCCGCUGAGGAAGGCUUUUACCCAGUCUAGAACGCUGGGGGAAUAAGGAGAGGGCAAGUCUGGUGUCAGCCGCCGCGGUAAUACCAGCUCUCCGAGUGGUGUGGAUGUUUAUUGGGCCUAAAGCAUCCGUAGCUGGCUAAGUUAGUCCCUUGUUAAAUCCACCGAAUUAAUCGUUGGAUUGCGGGGGAUACUGCUUGGCUAGGGGACGAGAGAGGCAGACGGUAUUUCCGGGGUAGGGGUGAAAUCCUAUAAUCCCGGGAAGACCACCAGUGGCGAAGGCUGUCUGCUAGAACGCGCCCGACGGUGAGGGAUGAAAGCUGGGGGAGCGAACCGGAUUAGAUACCCGGGUAGUCCCAGCUGUAAACGAUGCAGGCUAGGUGUUUGGACGGCCACGUGCCGUUCUAGUGCCGCAGGGAAGCUGUUAAGCCUGCCGCCUGGGGAGUACGAUCGCAAGAUUGAAACUUAAAGGAAUUGGCGGGGGAGCAC